AGUGAACGCUGGCGGCGUGCUUAACACAUGCAAGUCGAACGGUAACGCAAAGUGCUUGCACUUUGGCGACGAGUGGCGCACGGGUGAGUAAUAUAUAGUUAAUGUACCUUCAAGACUGGGAUAGCCACUGGAAACGGUGAUUAAUACUAGAUACACCUUCAUAUCACAAGGUAUGAAGGGAAAUGUUUUUUCGCUUGAAGAUCAGACUAUAUCCUAUCAGUUAGUUGGUGAGGUAAGAGCUCACCAAGACGAUGACGGGUAGCGGGUUUGAGAGGAUGAUCCGCCACACUGGUACUGAGACACGGACCAGACUCCUACGGGAGGCAGCAGUGAGGAAUAUUGCACAAUGGAGGAAACUCUGAUGCAGCAACGCCGCGUGGAGGAUGACGCAUUUCGGUGUGUAAACUCCUUUUAUGAGUCAAGAAAAUGACGGUAGCUCAUGAAUAAGCACCGGCUAACUCCGUG
RNAcentral lists this ribosomal RNA (465 nucleotides) under uncultured bacterium. RNAcentral describes it as "bacterial SSU rRNA". It matches the Rfam family "Bacterial small subunit ribosomal RNA", at positions 29 to 507 of the family's 1533-position model. The record is from RNAcentral.